UGCCAGAUUCGUCACAAAUAUAGAAAAUAUACUGUUCACACGGACAGAGUCUCCCCUGUAUUUGCACGGCGUUGCACGAGUAUAAGAUACAAUUUUCAUAAUACAGGAUACAACCACAGAUAUGAAUAUACACAAAUUCAUAUGCCAUUCAUAUUCACAUUCACAUUCAUUUCAUUACAAAUAUCCAUAAAUCCACAUUUAUCAGUUUAAAAUAUUUUCCACCCGAAAACUCAUUUUUAAAGGACUAAGAGUCAAGAAAACCAACAAAAACUUUUUCAAAAUCGUUUCCCACACGAAAAUUCUUUUUCUUUAAAAUACGCUAUCACGAGGGGUAGAAAACCAUUUUCAUCUCAAAGAAAAUCAUAAGUUCUUUAAUUUAUUUACCAAAAUCACAUUUAUCCAAGUAAACAAAAACCAACUGAACCAAU
RNAcentral lists this long non-coding RNA (428 nucleotides) under Ananas comosus (pineapple). Its description in RNAcentral is "long non-coding RNA (ACOM_LNC009160)". The record is from RNAcentral. Lineage: Eukaryota; Viridiplantae; Streptophyta; Magnoliopsida; Poales; Bromeliaceae.